This 30-nucleotide unclassified non-coding RNA is filed under the name Mus musculus (house mouse). RNAcentral describes it as "oocyte_clustered_small_RNA12408". The record is from RNAcentral. Lineage: Eukaryota; Metazoa; Chordata; Mammalia; Rodentia; Muridae.
UAGCACAGCCAGCAUCCCAGAUGGACAGAA